AGACCCGAAACCCGGUGAUCUAGCCAUGGGCAGGUUGAAGGUUGGGUAACACUAACUGGAGGACCGAACCGACUAAUGUUGAAAAAUUAGCGGAUGACCUGUGGCUGGGGGUGAAAGGCCAAUCAAACCGGGAGAUAGCUGGUUCUCCCCGAAAGCUAUUUAGGUAGCGCCUCGUGAAUUCAUCUCCGGGGGUAGAGCACUGUUUCGGCUAGGGGGCCAUCCCGGCUUACCAACCCGAUGCAAACUGCGAAUACCGGAGAAUGUUAUCACGGGAGACACACGGCGGGUGCUAACGUCCGUCGUGAAGAGGGAAACAACCCAGACCGCCAGCUAAGGUCCCAAAGUCAUGGUUAAGUGGGAAACGAUGUGGGAAGGCCCAGACAGCCAGGAUGUUGGCUUAGAAGCAGCCAUCAUUUAAAGAAAGCGUAAUAGCUCACUGGUCGAGUCGGCCUGCGCGGAAGAUGUAACGGGGCUAAACCAUGCACCGAAGCUGCGGCAGCGACGCUUAUGCGUUGUUGGGUAGGGGAGCGUUCUGUAAGCCUGCGAAGGUGGCCUGUGAGGGUUGCUGGAGGUAUCAGAAGUGCGAAUGCUGACAUAAGUAACGAUAAAGCGGGUGAAAAGCCCGCUCGCCGGAAGACCAAGGGUUCCUGUCCAACGUUAAUCGGGGCAGGGUGAGUCGACCCCUAAGGCGAGGCCGAAAGGCGUAGUCGAUGGGAAACGGGUUAAUAUUCCCGUACUUGGUGUUACUGCGAAGGGGGGACGGAGAAGGCUAUGUUGGCCGGGCGACGGUUGUCCCGGUUUAAGCGUGUAGGUGUGUGUUCCAGGUAAAUCCGGUUCACUUUAACACUGAGGCGUGACGACGAGGCACUACGGUGCUGAAGCAACAAAUGCCCUGCUUCCAGGAAAAGCCUCUAAGCAUCAGGUAACAUCAAAUCGUACCCCAAACCGACACAGGUGGUCAGGUAGAGAAUACCAAGGCGCUUGAGAGAACUCGGGUGAAGGAACUAGGCAAAAUGGUGCCGUAACUUCGGGAGAAGGCACGCUGACACGUAGGUGAAGUGAUUUACUCAUGGAGCUGAAGUCAGUCGAAGAUACCAGCUGGCUGC
Molecule: ribosomal RNA, 1106 nt
Filed under: Salmonella enterica subsp. enterica serovar Braenderup
Lineage: Bacteria; Pseudomonadati; Pseudomonadota; Gammaproteobacteria; Enterobacterales; Enterobacteriaceae
Description: partial 23S ribosomal RNA
Rfam family: Bacterial large subunit ribosomal RNA
Source: RNAcentral